CCCCUAGAUGUUCUGGGCCGCACGCGCGCUACACUGAACAGUUCAACAAGUCUUAACCUUGGCCGAUAGGUCUGGGUAAUCUUUGAACGCUGUUCGUGACUGGGAUAGACCUUUGCAAUUAUGGGUCUUCAACGAGGAAUUCCUAGUAAACGCAAGUCAUCAGCUUGCAUUGAUUACGUCCCUGCCCUUUGUACACACCGCCCGUCGCACCUACCGAUUGAAUGGUCCGGUGAAAUCUCGGGACGGCGGCUUGGUCGCUUGCGUCCGACUGCUGAAACUUGAUUAAACCAUAUCAUUUAGAGGAAGGUGGAGUCGUAACA
RNAcentral lists this ribosomal RNA (320 nucleotides) under uncultured eukaryote. RNAcentral describes it as "partial 18S ribosomal RNA". It matches the Rfam family "Eukaryotic small subunit ribosomal RNA", at positions 1470 to 1796 of the family's 1831-position model. The record is from RNAcentral.